This 446-nucleotide ribosomal RNA is filed under the name uncultured bacterium. RNAcentral describes it as "partial 16S ribosomal RNA". It matches the Rfam family "Bacterial small subunit ribosomal RNA", at positions 338 to 795 of the family's 1533-position model. The record is from RNAcentral.
ACUACGGGAGGCAGCAGUAGGGAAUUUUCGGCAAUGGGGGGAACCCUGACCGAGCAACGCCGCGUGAACGAAGAAGUUAUUCGUAAUGUAAAGCUCUUUUAACAGGGAAGAAAGAGAAAUUUGACGGUACCUGAAGAAUAAGCUCCGGCUAACUACGUGCCAGCAGCCGCGGUAAUACGUAGGGAGCGAGCGUUAUCGGGAAUUAUUGGGCGAAAAGGGUGCGUAGAUGGCAUAGUAAGUCUUUGGCAAAAAUGCUGGGCUCAACCCAGUAGGGCAAAAGAUACUGAAACGCUAGAGUAUGACAGAGGCAAGUGGAACUAGAUGUGUAGCGGUGAAAUGCGUAAAUAUAUGUAAGAACACCAGUGGCGAAGGCGGCUUGCUGGGUCGAUACUGACAUUGAGGCACGAAAGCGUGGGGAGCAAACAGGAUUAGAUACCCCGGUAGUC